AUGGAGGGAAGCAGAUCCCCCCACCGUUUAGAAAGGCGUGAGUUCCGAACAAUCAACGCAUACGAUUCAGCAAUCAAAGAUGUUCAGGAGUGCGUCAUCUGGUCAGGACAACAGGGAUGGUGGGUCUUUGAACGACAUCGGCAAGGAUUAUGGGAGGCAGUUGAGUAUCGAGAGGUGGAAGAAAAAAACUCACUACAAAAUGAGAAGAAGAUCAAGGAUGGAUAUGCCGUCAAACACGCACAUGCCAUGCGGGCUGGAGUAAUUGGAGUCAAGAGUGAGAUACAAGUUCUUGGCAAACGUCCCAACCAGGAGCAUGAAGGAUCAUUGGCAACAAAAGCAUUGGUGUUCAAGGAUUCGGUGUACGAGCAAGGAAGCAAGUAUCGCGGUAGUCCACGGAUCGAUGAAAACAUAAGGCAAGGUCCUUUGAAAGGAUCACCUGUGGUGUUCAACAUGAGGGGUCCUUCCAAAGGAUCUCCGAUGGCAUUCAGAAUAGUCAGCGAAAUUACCAAUGCACGGAGGUUGUUGCCAAGAUUUUCUGGACAAGAGAGGCAUGGGAAAACAAAGGAUUUGGCGGAGGGGAUAACAGAUGAGGCAAAGAAAUAUCAUAAAGCAGCACAGUCUCUUGGUUGCACGAGUGCCGGAGAAACAGGGAGCAGCAUUGCACAAUGUGACAGUGGAGAGGCAGAGUCAUUUAUGGAUUUGACCGUGCCAUGCAGAAAUGAUGCUGCUGCAUGUGACAAACAACAGAGCAGCAGCAGCUCCGCUGUAAGUGGACCUGUGGCUGGCGAUGAAACUGAUGCCGUGAGAAGUGAAUGCGAUCAGAUGAAUGAAGACACGGUAGACAGAAUCACCAUGGCGCCGCCGACCAUUGUAGAGAAAGAAAUGGACGACAUAUAUGCGAGAAAGGUUGGCUUUGCUGCCAAGCGAUCAACGAGCAGAAGAUCGACAUAUGAUCAGCAACUUGACAAGCAGAGAACGAGCAGUUGCUUGAUCUGGACAAGCUGCCCAGUCCAAAUAACAGCCAAGAGGGAUGCAGAUAGGAGGAAAUGGUAUCUGAAGAACGUGCGCCUAGAGCACAACCACCAACUUCACCCAUCAGAUUGGAUGCUGAAGUUCAUGAGAUGCUAUAAGAAGAUGACACCUCAGGAGAAAUUCUUUAUACAAGUGCUACAGAAGGCGAGGUUAGAAUCGAGGAAGAGGCGGAGGCCGGGAUUCCACCAUGUGGAAGAGACAGAGAACAAUGUAGUGCGGAGCCUGUUCUGGACAGACUCCUUGUGCAAGAUGAAUUAUGAGCUAUAUGGAGAUUUCAUGUCUUUUGACAUGACAUUCUCUACGAAUAUAUAUGGCUUACCAUUUGCACCAAUUAUAGGUGUCGACAACCAUGGGUCGACCAUCCUGUUUGGACUAGGCCUUUUGAAGGAUGAGAAGAUAGGGUCAUUCAAGUGGCUCCUAAGCACGUUUGUCAAGGCCAUGGGAGGUAAAGAGCCGAAAUACAUAAUAACUUACCAGGACCAGGCGAUGAAGACUGCAAUAAAGGAAGCUCUUCCGAGAACGAGGCACAGGUUCUGUUGGUGGCAUAUUAGGAAGAACCUGAAGGAAAAUAACGUAGUAGUGUUUGCGCAGCACCCAGGGAUGUCUGAUGAUUUAUUUCGAAUCAUCAAAAACUCACUGGAUCAAGAUGAGUUUGAGCGUGCCUGGAAAGCAGCAAUUUCUGUGCACAAGGCGGAAGGCAACAGACACCUGAACACGCUAUGGGAACUGUGA
This 1764-nucleotide ribosomal RNA is filed under the name Triticum aestivum (bread wheat). Its description in RNAcentral is "partial small subunit ribosomal RNA". Lineage: Eukaryota; Viridiplantae; Streptophyta; Magnoliopsida; Poales; Poaceae. The record is from RNAcentral.